Molecule: ribosomal RNA, 498 nt
Filed under: uncultured bacterium
Lineage: Bacteria
Description: bacterial SSU rRNA
Rfam family: Bacterial small subunit ribosomal RNA
Source: RNAcentral
CGAACGCUGGCGGCGUGCUUAACACAUGCAAGUCGAACGCGAACGAGUUCUUCGGAACUUUAGUAGAGUGGCGCACGGGUGAGUAACGCGUAAGUAAUCUACCCUCGCAUCUGGGAUAACCCACCGAAAGGUGUGCUAAUACCGGAUACGUCUAAGUUAAUAUCUUUUUUUUAGAGAAAGGUGGCCUCUGAUUCAAGCUACUGUGCGGGGAGGAGCUUGCGUACCAUUAGCUAGUUGGUAGGGUAACGGCCUACCAAGGCGACGAUGGUUAGCGGGUCUGAGAGGAUGAUCCGCCACACUGGAACUGAAACACGGACCAGACUCCUACGGGAGGCAGCAGUGAGGAAUAUUGCGCAAUGGGGGCAACCCUGACGCAGCGACGCCGCGUGGAUGAUGAAGGCCUUCGGGUUGUAAAAUCCUGUCAGAUGGGAAGAAGUGUGUAGUACUUAAUACGUGCUACAUUUGACGGUACCAUCAAAGGAAGCACCGGCUAACUCC